ACUGGGCUCAGGGUGUCCAUUGUUCUCUCGAAGCAACUGAGAAUUGUGGAUAUUCUUUGUUAUUCCAUCAUCAUCUCAAACCUCUUGGGUAUAGUGUUUGAAUGCUACUCUGACCAUAAAUUCCAAUAAAACCUAGGAAAAAAUGAAACUACUAUAUUAACUGAAAGGACAGCUCAAGUGAUAGAAAUAACACAGGACGGGAAGUAAGAAGACAGUUCUGGUCUGAAGUUCUUCUCUGACAGCUCAUAAACUAGUUAAUAU
This 261-nucleotide long non-coding RNA is filed under the name Pongo abelii (Sumatran orangutan). Its description in RNAcentral is "lincRNA". Lineage: Eukaryota; Metazoa; Chordata; Mammalia; Primates; Hominidae. The record is from RNAcentral.